AAGAAGGGAGAAGAUGUAGCAGUAAUUGAAACUGACUCCAACAAUAUAUAUUUUGCUUUCUUUCUUCUAAUGAAAGCAGAACCAGAAAGAAAAAAAAUGCCACAAGAAGAAGAUGAAUCCUUGAUCAUCUACCUAAAGAAAGAACUUGAAUCCUCUCUUAUAAGGAAUGAUUCAUUGGAGAAAGAAAAUAGAGAAUUAAGGCAAGAAAUUAUCCGUCUAAAAGCACAGAUUACUUCUCUCAAAGCUCAUGAUAAUGAGAGAAAAUCUUUGCUUUGGAAGAAAUUGCAGAAUUCCAAUGAUUCAUCUCAACAGAUCAGACCAUCUGAACCUCCUGAUAAUAAUCCUAAAUUGCAACUACCAAACCCUCCACCAAAACUUACUCCUAUAUUUAAUCAAAAUAAAUUACCACCGCCAAUAUCAGCGGCGCCACCACCGCCACCGCCACCAUCAAAGAUGUUUAUGGGUUCAAAAUCGGUUCGGCGCGUACCAGAAGUUGUGGAAUUCUAUCGUUUGCUGACAAGGAAAAAUGUAAGCUCGGAGAAUAAUAAAAACCAUUCUACUGCUGCUACUCCAGUAACCGCAUUUUCACCGAACAUGAUUGGGGAAAUCGAGAACCGCUCUACUCAUCUUUCUGCUAUAAAAUCAGAUGUGGAAAAACGGAAAGAAUUCAUAAAUUACUUAAUCAAAGAAGUGGAGUCUGCAGCUUUUAAAGGAAUAUCUGAAGUGGAAACAUUUGUGCAAUGGCUAGACAAUGAACUAUCUUCCUUAGUUGAUGAAAGAGCAGUAUUAAAGCAUUUCACACAAUGGCCAGAAAGAAAAGCAGAUGCUCUAAGAGAAGCUGCCUGCAAUUACAGGGAUUUAAGAAAUCUUGAUGUAGAAGUUUCAUUAUUUGAGGACAAUCCAAAAGAGCCUUUGAACAAGUCUCUAGGGAGAAUCCAAGCAAUGCAAGACAGGCGAGCAUGUUGGAGAGAAGUGUUAAUAAUACGGAAAGGACGAGAGAAAGUAUAAUGAAGAAGUAUAGGGAGUUUCAGAUCCCGUGGGAAUGGUUGCUGGACACAGGGCUGAUUGGUCAGAUGAAAUUAAGUUCUUUGAGGCUAGCGAAAGCGUAUAUGAAAAGGAUAAUUAAAGAAUUACAAGCCAACGAGUGCUCAGGUUCAGAUAAUCUCUUGCUUCAAGGAGCUAGAUUUGCUUACCGGCUACACCAGUUUGCAGGUGGUUUUGACUCAGAGACCAUGCACGCAUUUCAAGAAUUGAAGAAGGUUGGAAUGGCCAGUCAUAAAUAAAUAGUAUGUAUGCAUUAAUUAUAUAAGCGAAAGUAUCUGUAAUCUACAGACACCUGAUGAAGAAAUCGAAAGAGAGAGGGAUGGCAGUUUCCAUAAAUUAUGAUGCUAAGGAUGUUGCUAAUCUCAAAAUUUUGUUGUAUAAGAUUCAUAAUUCAGAUGUUGAAAGUAGUUUUGAACAGGUGAGGACAUGGAUUAUAUGAAGAACUACAUUGAAGUAAUGUGUAUUUAUUGCAAAAUAUUUACAAAAAUAUAACUUUAACCUAUGUUGUUAUACGCGAUC
RNA transcript from Jatropha curcas, 1563 nucleotides. It is a transcript of the gene named CHUP1-like protein, with no coding region annotated. The record is from RefSeq and is a predicted model, not a curated record. Lineage: Eukaryota; Viridiplantae; Streptophyta; Magnoliopsida; Malpighiales; Euphorbiaceae.